This 433-nucleotide ribosomal RNA is filed under the name uncultured bacterium. Its description in RNAcentral is "partial 16S ribosomal RNA". It matches the Rfam family "Bacterial small subunit ribosomal RNA", at positions 29 to 507 of the family's 1533-position model. The record is from RNAcentral.
AGCGAACGCUGGCGGCAGGCUUAACACAUGCAAGUCGAGCGGGCACUUCGGUGUCAGCGGCAGACGGGUGAGUAACACGUGGGAACGUACCCUUCGGUUCGGAAUAACGCUGGGAAACUAGCGCUAAUACCGGAUACGCCCUUUUGGGGAAAGGUUUACUGCCGAAGGAUCGGCCCGCGUCUGAUUAGCUAGUUGGUGGGGUAAUGGCCUACCAAGGCGACGAUCAGUAGCUGGUCUGAGAGGAUGAUCAGCCACACUGGGACUGAGACACGGCCCAGACUCCUACGGGAGGCAGCAGUGGGGAAUAUUGGACAAUGGGCGCAAGCCUGAUCCAGCCAUGCCGCGUGAGUGAUGAAGGCCUUAGGGUUGUAAAGCUCUUUUGUCCGGGGCGAUAAUGACGGUACCGGAAGAAUAAGCCCCGGCUAACUUCGUG